This 247-nucleotide ribosomal RNA is filed under the name uncultured bacterium. RNAcentral describes it as "partial 16S ribosomal RNA". It matches the Rfam family "Bacterial small subunit ribosomal RNA", at positions 86 to 334 of the family's 1533-position model. The record is from RNAcentral.
AGAUGGCGACCGGCGCACGGGUGAGUAACGCGUAUCCAACCUGCCGAUAACUCGGGGAUAGCCUUUCGAAAGAAAGAUUAAUACCCGAUGGCAUAAUUAGACCGCAUGGUCUUAUUAUUAAAGAAUUUCGGUUAUCGAUGGGGAUGCGUUCCAUUAGGCAGUUGGUGAGGUAACGGCUCACCAAACCUUCGAUGGAUAGGGGUUCUGAGAGGAAGGUCCCCCACAUUGGAACUGAGACACGGUCCAA